This 601-nucleotide ribosomal RNA is filed under the name Austrocochlea diminuta. RNAcentral's name for it is "partial 12S ribosomal RNA". Lineage: Eukaryota; Metazoa; Mollusca; Gastropoda; Trochida; Trochidae. The record is from RNAcentral.
AGGUUGUUAUGUGGGAGGUCCUUUAUUUCUUAUAGAGGUGGAAUUUGAAUAAGGAAGGUAAGGUUUGAAUGACUUCUUGGGCUUGGAGCCUCGAAAUUUUUAUAAUAGACCGGGAUUAGAUACCCCGUUAUUUUUCACGUAAAUUUUAAUUGUCUAUAAAUGGUUUACUUGAGUAUUACGAGUAUUGUUGAGCUUAAGUUUGAUGGUGAAUACUUAAAACUCAAAAAACUUGGCGGUGCUUUAUUUCUUUCUAGGGGAACCUGUCCUGUAAUCGAUGGUCCACGAUUAAGCUUACUUUUUUUUGUCAGGUUAAAUUACCUGUCAGUUUGUAUACCGUCGUCGUCAGAUUACCUUUAAGAGUUUAAGAAGUUGUCGGAUAAGGCAUUGUCUGGGAACGGAAAUUAGAAAAUUUAGAUUUUGUUUUGAGGCAUUUCUUUGAUGUCAGAUCAAGGUGCAGCUUAUAAAAAAGUAGAGAUGGGUUACAAUAAUGAAUUAUUAGAUGGAUUUCUAGUUGUAAUAUUGGAAUGAAGGCGGACUUAGGAGUAAUGUAAUUUAUGCAAGUUAAGCAGAGAGUUUUUGUGAAAUAAGUGCUAAAGCGCGU